GGUAGCUGAUGGAGGAAUCCUGAGGGUGUUACGCGGCGAUAGGAUUGUGCUGGAGGGGAAGAAGGAGAGCAGAGGACAUUAUUACUUGGCAGGGAGCCCAGUGCGAGGUGGAGUUUCGGGAGCCAGGCGGAGCCCAGAGUGAGGUAGAGCUCCAGGAGGCAGAUCGGGCACGAGACAGGAGACUCGGGAGGACGAGAGGCGACGUCGCAAGGUGAGAUUCCUAUUACCGCAGGAUGAUGCCCCGAGCAGGUCUCAGGUCAGGAGGAGCACAGCAUACGAUGGAGAUGGGAUCGAGCAGCCUGGCUCGACACCCAUGUUUGCCCAUCCAUAAUCAGCAGGCGAUUGCCUCAGGGCAUGGGGCG
RNAcentral lists this long non-coding RNA (362 nucleotides) under Elaeis guineensis (African oil palm). RNAcentral's name for it is "long non-coding RNA (EGUI_LNC019776)". Lineage: Eukaryota; Viridiplantae; Streptophyta; Magnoliopsida; Arecales; Arecaceae. The record is from RNAcentral.